RNAcentral lists this long non-coding RNA (1129 nucleotides) under Cyanistes caeruleus (blue tit). RNAcentral's name for it is "lncRNA (ENSCCEG00000019230.1)". Lineage: Eukaryota; Metazoa; Chordata; Aves; Passeriformes; Paridae. The record is from RNAcentral.
AAUUUAUAAAUUUCUUUUCAGUGCAAGGAGUUAAGUAGUUGAAAGAAAAGACUGGCAGUGAGAAACAGAAAUUCUGAUUAAAAAAUGAGGAACAAAAGAACUUUAAGGCUGUCUUCCUGAGAUACUGGAGUCAAUACAGGCCAGAUGGUAGGAGACAGAUGAUUUUACUAGUUGGAUCAUUUUAAGCAUGUGAUUACAACGUUAUGAACAGCAAGUUGACAACAAGUUUGUGGUGAAAGUUACAACGCUUUAAAGGACAUAUGAUCUGCUGUGCUUUUCAAAAUCCCCAAAUAGGUAAUUGCCUCUCAGUGAAGGUAGCUGAGCUUCAAGACCUAAUUUCCUCCAGUUUCCUACCAGCUUCUGAAAGGCCUGGUCUUCAGAAAUUAUCAUUGGGCAUCAGGCUCCAGGACAUACAAAUGCUCUGGUUUACAGAAACAAAGGAGUGGAAUAGAAGCUCAGUAAAUUCAGAAGAAUAUAUGUUUCAGCACCCAAAAUGAGGGGUACUCGUUACAAACAUAUGGAAAUCUAUUUUGGGGAAAGGUAUAGAUUAUUUGUUAUGCAUUAAAUGCUUUACACAUGCAGUGGUCUACACAAGUCUCAGUUCAUGUUUCAGACUAACAAAAAAACAGUGCCAGUGUGGAGAUAAAGCGGGACAAAAAGUGAUGAUGAGGUUGAAGAUGGGUUAUUUUAUUCUCUAAAUGUGAGUUCCCAGCUCUACAUACAUCAAAAAGAGUAAAACAGCAAGACUGUAACUUAAAUACAUGGGAAACAUAGAGUUGAAACAUACUGGUCAGAGCUGAGGAAGGGAAGAAAAAUGACAAGUUCUUUAUUUGCUUACUUUAAAAUGGGAGCACAAAGGGAUGUCUACUACUUGUAUAUUUUCCCUUCUCCCAGCUUCUUUAGUACAAUAUACAUACAGGAAUAAUUGACUGGGGUUUUGAUAUUUGAUUGUUUUACACGCAGACUUUUCUUCCCUCCCUUUAAAACCCCCCCCCAUAUUCUUAAAUAGAAAGCUACUUUUGCCUCUGUGCACUCUACCAUUAUUUUGAGGGGUCUUAUUUUUCUGUAGUAGUAUCCAGAUGGAAAGAGUGUGACUUCUGUAAUAAAUAAUACAAAUGAGAUGCUACCA